RNAcentral lists this ribosomal RNA (1683 nucleotides) under Curimata mivartii. RNAcentral's name for it is "16S ribosomal RNA". It matches the Rfam family "Bacterial large subunit ribosomal RNA". Lineage: Eukaryota; Metazoa; Chordata; Actinopteri; Characiformes; Curimatidae. The record is from RNAcentral.
GCCAAACAGCUAGCUCAACUAUCAGAACUAAAUUAACAACAUUCAUAACUUUGUUUAAACCUAAAAUACUAAACUAAAACAUUCUCCUGCCUUAGUAUGGGCGACAGAAAAGGCACCUAGAAGCAAUAGAAAAAGUACCGCAAGGGAAAGCUGAAAGAGAAAUGAAAUAAAUCAUUUAAGCCCAAAAAAGCAGAGAUUAAAUCUCGUACCUUUUGCAUCAUGAUUUAGCCAGUACACCUGAGCAAAGAGAACUUUAGUUCAAGACCCCGAAACCAAGUGAGCUACCCCGAGACAGUCUAUUAUAGGACCAACCCGUCUCUGUGGCAAAAGAGUGGGAAGAUCUCCGGGUAGAGGUGACAGACCUACCGAACUUGGUGAUAGCUGGUUGCCUAGGAAAUGGAUAGAAGUUCAGCCUCGUAUUCCUCAAUUCACCCAAACACCGUUCUAUUAUGAACCCGAGAAAUAUAUGAGAGUUAAUCAAAGGAGGUACAGCUCCUUUGAACCAGGAUACAACCUGCCCAGGAGGCUAAGGAUCACAUUCAACAAGAUUUCUGCUUCAGUGGGCCUAAAAGCAGCCACCCGAAUAGAAAGCGUUCAAAGCUCAGGCAGACAAAGACAUCUAUUAAUUCUGACUAAUAUUAUCCUAAGCCCCUCCCCCCUACUAGGCCGUUCCAUGCCAACAUGGAAGUGACCCUGCUAAAAUGAGUAAUAAGAAGGCACCCCCUUCUCCUAGCCCACGUGUAAGUCAGCUCGGACCCCCCACUGACAAUUAACGAACCCAAUAUAAGAGGGCACUGUGAUUUUUAAAAAACCCAAGAAAACCCCACAUCAUAAUUAUCGUUAAACCCACACUGGAGUGCUUAAAAGGAAAGACUAAAAGAGAGGGAAGGAACUCGGCAAACACAAGCCUCGCCUGUUUACCAAAAACAUCGCCUCUUGCAAAAAUCAACGUAUAAGAGGUCCUACCUGCCCAGUGACAACUAGUUAAACGGCCGCGGUAUUUUGACCGUGCUAAGGUAGCGCAAUCACUUGUCUUUUAAAUGAAGACCUGUAUGAAUGGUGGAACGAGGGCUUAACUGUCUCCCCCCCGUCCGGUCAAUGAAAUUGAUCUGCCCGUGCAGAAGCGGACAUAAAAAUACAAGACGAGAAGACCCUUUGGAGCUUAAGACAAAAAGUCAACCGUGUCAAAAACUUAAAUAAAAUAAAAUUAAACAAAACGGCAACUGGCCUACGUCUUCGGUUGGGGCGACCGCGGGGGAAAACAAAGCCCCCACGUGGACUGGGACAACCUCCUAAAACCAAGAGAGACAUCUCUAAGCUACAGAACAUCUGACCAAAAGAUCCGGCCUACCGGCCGAUCAACGAACCAAGUUACCCUAGGGAUAACAGCGCAAUCCCCUCCAAGAGUUCAUAUCGACGAGAGGGUUUACGACCUCGAUGUUGGAUCAGGACAUCCUAAUGGUGCAGCCGCUAUUAAGGGUUCGUUUGUUCAACGAUUAAAGUCCUACGUGAUCUGAGUUCAGACCGGAGCAAUCCAGGUCAGUUUCUAUCUGUAAAGCCACUCUUCCUAGUACGAAAGGACCGGAAAAGUGAGGCCCAUGCUCUAGGUACGCCUCAUUCUAAUUUAAUGAAAUCAACUAAAUUAAAUAAAAGAAAGCACCCAAUAACCCAAAAUAAGGGCCU